AGGGUUACCUGGCAGGGGAGAUACCAUGAUCACGAAAGGGGUUUUCCCAGUGCAAGGUGUAUCCAUUUCACUCCAGAUGUGCUGACCCCUGCCAUUUCCCCAAAUGUGGGAAACUUGGCUGCAUGAUUUCUGGUAGUGGGGGACUGCUUUCGUUCUUUCCCCUA
Manis pentadactyla (Chinese pangolin) is the source of this 164-nucleotide small nuclear RNA. RefSeq annotates it as U1 spliceosomal RNA. The record is from RefSeq and is a predicted model, not a curated record. Lineage: Eukaryota; Metazoa; Chordata; Mammalia; Pholidota; Manidae. The transcript has a single exon.